ACGGAAGGCAGCAGUGGGGGAUAUUGCACAAUGGGCGAAAGCCUGAUGCAGCGACGCCGCGUGAGGGAAGACGGUUUUCGGAUUGUAAACCUCUGUCUUCGGGGACGAAAAAGGACGGUACCCGUGGAGGAAGCCACGGCUACUACGUGCCAGCAGCCGCGGUAAUACGUAGGUGGCAAGCGUUGUCCGGAAUUACUGGGUGUAAAGGGAGAGUAGGCGGGAUUGCAAGUCCGUUGUUAAAUCUAUCGGCUCAACCGGUAGCUGCGGCGGAAACUGUAGUUCUUGAGUGAAGUAGAGGCAGGCGGAAUUCCUAGUGUAGCGGUGAAAUGCGUAGAUAUUAGGAGGAACACCAGUGGCGAAGGCGGCCUGCUGGGCUUUAACUGACGCUGAGGCUCGAAAGUGUGGGGAGCAAACAGGAUUAGAUACCCUGGUA
RNAcentral lists this ribosomal RNA (433 nucleotides) under uncultured Oscillospiraceae bacterium. Its description in RNAcentral is "partial 16S ribosomal RNA". It matches the Rfam family "Bacterial small subunit ribosomal RNA", at positions 341 to 792 of the family's 1533-position model. The record is from RNAcentral. Lineage: Bacteria; Bacillati; Bacillota; Clostridia; Eubacteriales; Oscillospiraceae.